Molecule: ribosomal RNA, 447 nt
Filed under: uncultured bacterium
Lineage: Bacteria
Description: partial 16S ribosomal RNA
Rfam family: Bacterial small subunit ribosomal RNA
Source: RNAcentral
AGCGAACGCUGGCGGCAGGCUUAACACAUGCAAGUCGAACGCCCCGCAAGGGGAGUGGCAGACGGGUGAGUAACACGUGGGAAUGUACCCUUUGGUUCGGAAUAACUUGGGGAAACUCAAGCUAAUACCGGAUAAGCUCUUAUGGGGAAAGGUUUACCGCCGAAGGAUCGGCCCGCGUCUGAUUAGCUAGUUGGGGAGGUAAUGGCUCACCAAGGCGACGAUCAUUAGCUGGUCUGAGAGGAUGAUCAGCCACACUGGGACUGAGGCACGGCCCAGACUCCUACGGGAGGCAGCAGUGGGGAAUAUUGGACAAUGGGGGCAACCCUGAUCCAGCCAUGCCGCGUGAGUGAUGAAGGCCUUAGGGUUGUAAAGCUCUUUUACCCGGGACGAUAAUGACUGUACCGGGAGAAUAAGCCCCGGCUAACUUCGUGCCAGCAGCCGCCGUAA